UGGGGAAUUUUUGGACAGUGGGCGAAAGCCUGAUCCAGCAAUGCCGCGUGUGUGAAGAAGGCCUUCGGGUUGUAAAGCACUUUUGUCCGGAAAGAAAUCCUUGGCUCUAAUACAGUCGGGGGGAUGACGGUACCGGAAGAAUAAGCACCGGCUAACUACGUGCCAGCAGCCGCGGUAAUACGUAGGGUGCAAGCGUUAAUCGGAAUUACUGGGCGUAAAGCGUGCGCAGGCGGUUUGCUAAGACCGAUGUGAAAUCCCCGGGCUCAACCUGGGAACUGCAUUGGUGACUGGCAGGCUAGAGUAUGGCAGAGGGGGGUAGAAUUCCACGUGUAGCAGUGAAAUGCGUAGAGAUGUGGAGGAAUACCGAUGGCGAAGGCAGCCCCCUGGGCCAAUACUGACGCUCAUGCACGAAAAGCGUGGGGGAGCAAAACAGGAUUAGAUACCCUGGUAGUCCACGCCCUAAACGAUGUCAACUAGUUGUUGGGGAUUCAUUUCCUUAGUAACGUAGCUAACGCGUGAAGUUGACCGCCUGGGGGAGUACGGUCGCAAGAUUAAAACUUAAAUGAAUUGACGGGGUCAUAGCUGUUUCC
RNAcentral lists this ribosomal RNA (590 nucleotides) under uncultured bacterium. Its description in RNAcentral is "partial 16S ribosomal RNA". It matches the Rfam family "Bacterial small subunit ribosomal RNA", at positions 355 to 937 of the family's 1533-position model. The record is from RNAcentral.